Molecule: ribosomal RNA, 245 nt
Filed under: uncultured bacterium
Lineage: Bacteria
Description: partial small subunit ribosomal RNA
Rfam family: Bacterial small subunit ribosomal RNA
Source: RNAcentral
AGAAUCAACGCUGGCGGCGCGCUUAACACAUGCAAGUCGAACGAGAAAGGGUAGCAAUACCUGAGUAAAGUGGCGCACGGGUGAGUAACACGUGAAUGAUCUACCUCCGAGUGGGGAAUAACUGAGAGAAAUCUUAGCUAAUACCGCAUAACACUUACGAGUCAAAGCAGCAAUGCGCUUGGAGAGGAGUUCGCGGCCGAUUAGUUAGUUGGCGGGUAAUGGCCCACCAAGACGAUGAUCGGUAU